RNAcentral lists this long non-coding RNA (1294 nucleotides) under Chloebia gouldiae (Gouldian finch). RNAcentral describes it as "Erythrura gouldiae (Gouldian finch) lncRNA (ENSEGOG00005018218.1)". Lineage: Eukaryota; Metazoa; Chordata; Aves; Passeriformes; Passeridae. The record is from RNAcentral.
CCUGGAAUUCCUUAGUGGGAGACGAGGGAAAAACCAAUUUUGAGUCACAUCCAGGAAUUUUCUUCAGAGUUCCCUGGGAAAAAAAACCAGAAAUAACCUGAAAAUUUCCAUCUCCUUUUGUUUUCCCUUAGAAUUUUGGGAUCUAAAACCCAUCCAAACCCAUUAUUCCCAUUCCUCCCCUUGGAAAAAAAAUCCUUGCGGGUUUUUGAGUGCCAAAUUCCCUUUUUUCCCGUUUUUCCAGGAUGGCAGACACGGAUCUUUUCAUGGAAUGCGAGGAGGAGGAGCUGGAGCCAUGGCAGAAAAUCAGCGAUGUCAUCGAGGACUCCGUGGUGGAGGAUUACAAUUCCAUGGAAAAAACUCCCGCAGGUCAUUUCCCCCUUGUCCCUCCUCACCGUCCCCCUUUUCCCACUGCUGCUUCCCGUUUUCUCACUGACUGUUCCAUAUUUCUCACUUACAUUUCCCCUUUCCCCACAGAUUUUUUUCCCCCCAUAAUCCCAUUGAUUUGCCCCCCACAUUCCCAUGGAUUUUCCCAAUUUCCCCACGGAUUUCCCCCGCACAUUCCCUGGCUUUUCCCCUUUUCCCCACAGAUUUUUUCCCCCCACAUUCCCCUGGCUUUUCCCAAUUUCCCCACGGAUUUCCCCCCACAUUCCCCUGGCUUUUCCCCAGGGAUUUCCCCCCCACAUUCCCCUGGCUUUUCCCCAGGGAUUUCCCCCCACAUUCCCCUGGCGUUUCCCCACGGAUUUCCCCCGCAUUCCCCGGGUGUUCCCGCUUUCCCCACGGAUUUCCCCCACAUUCCCCUGGCGUUUCCCCACGGAUUUCCCCCACAUUCCCUUGGCGUUUCCCCACGGAUUUCCCCCGCAUUCCCCGGGUGUUCCCGCUUUCCCCAGGGAUUUCCCCCACAUUCCCCUGGCGUUUCCCCACGGAUUUCCCCCCGCGUUCCCCGGGUGUUCCCGCUUUCCCCAGGGAUUUCCCCCACAUUCCCCUGGCGUUCCCCGGGUGUUCCCGCUUUCCCCACGGUGUUCCGGCUGUUUUCCAGGCGGGAACGCCGCCGUGCAGCCGGGCGGGCAGUCCCUGCUGCUGGCGCAGAGCCCCGCGCCCAGCCUGGGGGCGGUGGUCACCCAGCCCCUGCUGCGGCCGGUGCAGCUGAUGCAGAACGCCAACCACGGCACCAACCCCCCCGCGGGCACCCAGCCCAUCUUCAUCACCACCCAGGUCAGCCGCCAGCCCGGAGCGCCGCCGCAAAUCCCGGGAAAAACGCGCUUUCCCGGGAAAAUUCCCGUUUCUCGCUCCCUUU